UUUUAUGGUGGCCGUGCGCAGGGCGUUCUCGAGCGCGCCGGGUUCCGGAUACACCGGUCUACUAACCUGCGUACGGCUACCACCUUA
RNAcentral lists this non-coding RNA (87 nucleotides) under Pseudomonas psychrophila. The record is from RNAcentral. Lineage: Bacteria; Pseudomonadati; Pseudomonadota; Gammaproteobacteria; Pseudomonadales; Pseudomonadaceae.